Molecule: long non-coding RNA, 3099 nt
Organism: Coregonus clupeaformis (lake whitefish)
Lineage: Eukaryota; Metazoa; Chordata; Actinopteri; Salmoniformes; Salmonidae
Exons: 9
Source: RefSeq, a predicted model, not a curated record
AGGGGUGACAUGUUAUUAGCUACAGGAAUGUAUUCGCUAACUAGCUCGCUUGUUUGUUUCAUCUAACGUUAAACAUAUCAGAUGUGGACACAAAAAGAUAUGAGAUUACCACAUUUAUCGUCGUUUGAACGGCAAGUAGCCUCAAAUUUAGCAAGCUCACUUGCUAGCGCACUCAGAUAGUUUAGCAAUUUAUCCAGCUAUGAUGCUAGCUAAUCAUAAUAAUACAUAUUUAUAGCUAGCUAGCUAAUUGUAGUAGUUUCCAUCUCACUUUCAGACUGUCUGAGUGUUAACAACAUGACGCUGAAAAAAGAACUUGGCAGCAAGUGGAGGUCCUGGCUCAUGUGUAGAACAUCAAACAGAGUGUGUUGUCUGCUUUAAGACCUGGCAGCUCAGUAUCUGAUGUAUAAAGAGGAAUGUGAUGCUUGCACGCUGCUCAUUGUCAACAUCAGCAGCAUGAGCUAUGGACCAGACGAGGAACCAGAGGAAGAGCUGGAAGAAGUGGAAAUCUAGGACCCAGUUAAAGAGAAAAUGGCUCUGAAGGUGUGUCGAGAGGACCUGACUAAAGCCGAGGUGGAGCUAAAUCGAUUGCAUGCUGAGUAUGGAGACGUAGUGCCCCUCCGUGACUGGGAGACGCUGGACCAUACCCACAAAGAGAACUUGCUCAAGAUACAACGUGCUGGGAGGUAGUGAGCGUUGGGCAGAGCUCUCCCAGGACCAAUCCAGCAAGCGACGUCUGGAUAUCCUGCUAGCAGAACAUGUAGGAAAGAUCUCAGAGUCUUUCACUGGACUGGGUACUUCUGAUGCUGUGCCCAUAUACCUGCGCUAUGAGGGACAGUUGAAGAACCAUAGGCUAAAGAAGGCUGAUAUGAGAAACAUCAAGGAUGUUUGGAAGGAGAAGGUAAUUGAGGACGACAUGGUGGAUGAGAGUAUACAAUGGUCAGACAUUUACUGUCUAACCUUCUGAAGAUGUUGAUCCAAAGUGACAGUACAGAGAGUGGGAUGCUCAGUGUUCAGGAUUUCAGAGUUGCCUUGCAAAUGGCCCCUCUGAAAAUAGAGCAAGACAUCAAUUAGCUAGUGACUACAGCUCAGGCCGAGCUAAAUGACAAUGGUGGGAGCCUCCCAUACCAAAGACUAUACAGAGAGGUGACUGUGGCUUCCUUCAAGAACAUUGACCCAUCUCUGGACUCUACCAAGCUGGACUGGAACCUAGCAAAUUGGCAGGCUAGCAAAUUGAUCACUGGUGCAGUAUACCAUUAUAGAACUGUGCCAUCUUGUGGAUGUCCCCAUGUAAAACCCUGUGUAAUGUUGAACCAUGCCCUUUCUACCCAUCCUUGUAAUUUACACAGCAAAUGUAGUUCACCUUCAUCAAAGUGGGCUGAAUAAGAGGUACCAUAUUUUUGUCUGCCGAGGGUUUUGUGUGUUUAAAAAAAGUGUGUGUGUGUGAAAAACUAAAACCUACCAGCUGUAUAGAUUGAAGAACUUCAUUUCCCGCAUGGCAUUAGGACAGAUUAUUGUCCUGAGCAUGCGCCAUAAACUGGUGUAAUCGCCAUAACUGGGAGCCGACGGCCGUGCUGUGAAUGGGUUAGAGAUGGUAGGAGGUAGUGAUGGAGAGGAAAGGGAAGCAAGUAUGGAACAUAGCGGUACAAAUAAAGGAGGGAGUAAGAAAGAGAAAAAGAAAGCUGGCGAGAAAGGGAGUAGGGGUAUGAAGGGGAGCGAGAUUUCUAUGGAGGUAGAGAGGAGGCAGAAAAGGAAGUUUGAGGAGAGCAACCUAGAUCCCAACGAUAGUGGAAGUUCGGAGGCAGAAAGUGCAGAGGAAGGGCAAGAUAAGACACGAGAGGAACAUGGAGGUGAGGAGGAGCAUAAAGUGAUUAUGAAGUUUAGGGAGGAAGGGGGAGUUGGGGCGAUGAGUCCGAUAAGGUUGACGGCUGUGAUAAAAUAGUUGAUUGGGGAAGUUGUUAAUGCUAAAGUGUUAAGAGAUGGGAGCUUGUUGGUGUUCUGUAAGGACAUGGCGCAGGGGGAAAAAGCUAUCGGAGUGAAGCAAAUAGGGAAGUGUAAGGUGGUGUCGAGCAGCUGGUCUGACCAAGCAGGGAAGCAGUGGAGUAAAGGGGUGAUAACAGGAGUGCCUGUGAGCGUUAGCACUAAAGAGAUAAGGGAAAAUUUGAGAGGAGGCGUUCUAGUGAAUGCACAAAGAUUGCAAGCAAUAAGGGGUGGAGAUAGGGUAGAUAGCACGUCUAUUCUGUUAACUUUUAAGGACCGGGUACUGCCAAAUAAGGUAACAAAAGGGUAUAUGAGUUACUAUGUGAGGGCUUAUGUACCGAAACCUUUAAGAUGUUAUAAAUGCCAGAGGUUUGGGCAUGUGGCAACAGUCUGUAAAGAGAAAAAGAGGUGUGCCAGGUGUGGAGGGGAGCAUGAGUAUGGGAAGUGUGGAGAAGGUGUACAACCAAAGUGCUGCAACUGUGGGGGUGCUCAUAGUGUGGCAUAUAGUGGGUGUGAGGCUAUGAAGAAGACAGUGGAGGUGCAACAAGUGAGAGUGGAGAGAAGGGUAUCAUAUGCUGAGGCAGUGAGGGUGGUCCAGGAGAGAACGGUGUCAUAUGCUGAGGCAGUGAGGGUGGUCCAGGUCCAGGGAGAUACAGGUUCAAGGGAGAGAAGGGUAGGAGCAUCUAGACUGGGUGAUGGGGCAGGUGGGCAGCGAUAUGGUAUACAUAGAAAAGAGAAAGCUGGUGACGUUCAUAGCAGGAGCUAUCAAUAGCACCGAUAAAGUAGAGUCUAAAACGGAGAGGAUUAAACUAAUAGUGAAAGCUGCUGGGAGACAUUUGAGUAUGACAGGGUUGACAUGGAUGGAAAUGGACAAGUGAGUAGCCACAGGGAAAGAGUCUGCCUUGGACCUCACUCUGGUAUCUAGUGCGAUGGCAGGAAUAUGUGAGUGGGAGGUAUGGGAGGAGUCGACAGUAGGGAGUGAUCAUUACCCCAUUCUAUGCACAGUAGGCCGAAGGGAGGAGGAGGUGUUAGUGGAGUGAGUAGGCAGGUGGGUGUUUGGAAGGGCAAAGUGGGAUCAAUUUCAGGAGCUGAGUGAGCAGGUGGUGGCUUGGGUGGAUAUGA